Molecule: ribosomal RNA, 490 nt
Filed under: uncultured bacterium
Lineage: Bacteria
Description: partial 16S ribosomal RNA
Rfam family: Bacterial small subunit ribosomal RNA
Source: RNAcentral
AUUGAACGCUGGCGGCAGGCCUAACACAUGCAAGUCGAACGGUAACAGGAAGAAUCUUGCUUCUUUGCUGACGAGUGGCGGACGGGUGAGUAAUGUCUGGGAAACUGCCUGAUGGAGGGGGAUAACUACUGGAAACGGUAGCUAAUACCGCAUAACGUCGCAAGACCAAAGAGGGGGACCUUCGGGCCUCUUGCCAUCGGAUGUGCCCAGAUGGGAUUAGCUAGUAGGUGGGGUAACGGCUCACCUAGGCGACGAUCCCUAGCUGGUCUGAGAGGAUGACCAGCGACACUGGAACUGAGACACGGUCCAGACUCCUACGGGAGGCAGCAGUGGGGAAUAGUGCACAAUGGGCGCAAGCCUGAUGCAGCCAUGCCGCGUGUAUGAAGAAGGCCUUCGGGUUGUAAAGUACUUUCAGCGGGGAGGAAGGGAGUAAAGUUAAUACCUUUGCUCAUUGACGUUACCCGCAGAAGAAGCACCGGCUAACUCCGUG